CACAAUUUAUACAUUUAUACACUAUUAAUUUAAAACAAUGUUAGGCAUUAGGUAGUUGUACUUCCUGCUGUUAAGGUUUUUCCAGCUAUUUGUAUGUGUUGAGCUAUGUGGUUUGUAACUUCAAUUUAGAGAGACACAUGUAUUGUAUUAGCAGCCACGUAUCUUUCUCUUCUGCCACGUGUAACACAAACCCUCAAGAAGCCCCAAACAAGAACACACAAACCCUCACAAACAAUCCAAUCAGUAAACCAAAUCUCACUCUCAAUCUUAUUCUUGCACCAAUUUCCUAUUCGAUUCUCUGUUGAUAGAACCUAAAUUACGGAUUUUGGCCCUAAUUUGAAGUCAUGACGCAAGCAGAAGACGGAGGUUCGAACAAGGAACUUUAUGCUCUACUUCAUCUUCUCGCCUCCGACUAACAGGUACAAAAGCACAACCUACAUUCCGAAUUCGAAGUUUCUAAUUUUUGAAUUAUUGUAUUCUAGGUUUAUCUUCGAUUGAAUUAGUGGCUGUUAUUAUGUGUUUUGAGUUAUUAUCAGCUUUUAAACAUGUUAUUUGACCAUCUUAAAUGUAGACAAACACUAUAGUUAUGUUAAACAAGACACGUUCUUCAAUUAAUAUUCAGUGUCAGUUGACCAAGAAGUAUCAACGAGUAAGUAAUGCCUUUAUGUGUAGAUUACAACAUAUGUUUUUGUCUCUUUUGGUCAAACUUGACCCUAAUAUUUUCUAGUUUUUCUUUUUUUAGUUUAUUUGUUGUACAUAUAGCUUGGUUAGUUGUACAUUGAAUGUAUUAAAGAGUUUACGUGCUUCGUUAUGUUGUAAUCGUACCACAUUAUAUUAUAUGGUACAUCGUACUGAAGCGAUCUGAAAUGAGCCUACCCCCUUGUACCGAAUUUUAGGGACCUAGCAAAUUGCGAUCCCGUUCCACGUUCCCGUGCCGGAGCGUACCGCGAACUAUGUGACUAUGGAUCUCAUACUAGGAGCGUACCGAAUUUUAGGGACCUAGCGAAUUGUUUGUUAUAAGAACCUUUCUUUCCCUAGAAAAUUAGAUGGACUAAGAGAAGCUAAAGAAAAGGCUGAGAAGGAGGUUGCUGCAUUUUGGGUUCAAAUGGAAGCUGAUUUUGAAAGAAAGCUCACAAAGUAAGCUAAAACACAAUCAAUAACUACAGAAUGUCUUGACAACAUAAUCAUUUGUAUACACACAAUUUGAAUUCAGAUGGAAAGAGUGUUAAUUGUUGGCACUCCAUUUUGCAUAAUACAAAAUGUCAAGAUCUUUAGAAGUCAUGACAUGAAAACUUAAACUACAACAAUUUGCAGUUUGGGAUAUUUUUUUCUUAUAUUGCUUUACCUCCUAUUAGGCAUUGAUGAUCAUGGGUUUUUGAUACAUAAGUUUGCUCUUCUUGGAUGUUGUUAUGCCAUAGUUAUUCCUUUGGUACUUUUUCCUUCUGUUAAGAAGCUUACUUUUUAGCAUGUUCGUCUUUUCAGGCGUUUAACUUUGUGUUGGCAAGACCAGUUUUUAUAUGUGGAUAUAUGUGAUGAUGGUGAAUGGUGAUACCAAUAUAUGAUUUAAGCACAUUAGAUAUUUAAUUUUGGUACCAUGCUUUGAAUUAAGCACUCUUUUCUAAUGUCAAAUAAGUUUUCAUAUCUGUUUAUUGAUUAUACAUAAAAAUAAGUUUUCAUAUCUAUUUAUCGAUUAAACAUAGAAACAAGUUUUGAUAUUUGUUUAUUGAUCAAGUUCUUAAGGAUUAUUUUUGUGUUUGUUGAUGUAUAUUUUUUUUUUUGUUACAAUGUGGCGUUGUCCAAUGAGAUACAAGGGAUAACGGCUGAUGACUCCCCCCCCCCCCCCCCCCCCAAUUUAUUGUUAGAUGGUUAAAGUAGCAAGGAUUGAGCCGGUUAAAUAAUUGAACUACAGAUAGUGCAAAAUCCAACCAGGAAUGUGACACUAGGCAGAUUGACAAGAAGCACCCUAUAGUUUACAACAGGUUCACCAAGUCUCUUUCUUCUUCAACCUUUUCUUUUUACCAUUUCACUCUUAUAAAGAUGGAUCUGGUGUCUCAAUGCCUACCAGGACCAUGAAGAUUAAAAGAAGGGGUUGGGUUGAAAAAGAUAGUCCGGUGGGGGCUGAAUAUUGUAUUCUUUCUGACUAAUCAGCAGAGAAACAAGUAUAGGGCCCGUAAAGCUUGUUAAAAUGUUCGGAACUCGGUUGUGUGAGUGUUAAUAUUAUUGUACCCAGAUGAAGAAAGAGCAAGAAGUUUUAGUAGUAGCUCUAUAAUUGUGGGUUGUAUUCUUAAGGAGUUAUCCAACACUUGCUUAUGUGCUCUUUGUGGGGUUGGAAUCUAGUUUGAUCGAUAACAUUAAGAGUCUGCUAAGAUUGCCUCACAAAACGAGCGGGCUGAGUGACAAGUAAAAAAUCGGUUCAUUCAAAGUAGGUUGUGAGCAACAACACAUUGCGCCUUAAUUUGUAAGCCCUAACCGUAAUACUGCAGGGCUUACACCUAGUUCCAAUCAAAUAGAAGAAUUUAAUGUAAAUAUUAGAAAAAAGUCAAAAGUGUACAUAAGAAUUUAAUGUAAAUAUUAGAAAAAAAUGUCAAAAGUGUA
This is a long non-coding RNA of Helianthus annuus (common sunflower), 2595 nucleotides long. RefSeq lists it as uncharacterized. The record is from RefSeq and is a predicted model, not a curated record. The transcript is spliced from 2 exons. NCBI's taxonomy places the organism in Eukaryota, Viridiplantae, Streptophyta, Magnoliopsida, Asterales, Asteraceae.